This 497-nucleotide ribosomal RNA is filed under the name uncultured bacterium. RNAcentral's name for it is "partial 16S ribosomal RNA". It matches the Rfam family "Bacterial small subunit ribosomal RNA", at positions 28 to 507 of the family's 1533-position model. The record is from RNAcentral.
GAUGAACGCUGGCGGCGUGCCUAAUACAUGCAAGUCGAGCGAACAGAUGAGGAGCUUGCUCCUCUGACGUUAGCGGCGGACGGGUGAGUAACACGUGGAUAACCUACCUAUAAGACUGGGAUAACUACGGGAAACCGGAGCUAAUACCGGAUAAUAUAUUGAACCGCAUGGUUCAAUAGCGAAAGACGGUUUUGCUGUCACUUAUAGAUGGAUCCGCGCCGCAUUAGCUAGUUGGUAAGGUAACGGCUUACCAAGGCAACGAUGCGUAGCCGACCUGAGAGGGUGAUCGGCCACACUGGAACUGAGACACGGUCCAGACUCCUACGGGAGGCAGCAGUAGGGAAUCUUCCGCAAUGGGCGAAAGCCUGACGGAGCAACGCCGCGUGAGUGAUGAAGGUCUUCGGAUCGUAAAACUCUGUUAUUAGGGAAGAACAAAUGUGUAAGUAACUAUGCACGUCUUGACGGUACCUAAUCAGAAAGCCACGGCUAACUACGUG